UAAGCAGCGAUCAGCGAAUGAGUCGACCUUCUACGCCUUCUACACUGUGACAAAAUUGGACGAACAGUUGCGCUGCUAAAACAAAACAAACAAACAAUAAAAAGAAAACAGUAAUCGUUGGCAUCUUUCCAAAGUCCCUCUUCAAUCAUGAGUGAAGAAAAAAAUGUUCUACAGUACAAUGACGAAUAUUUCGCCAGAGAUUUUCUUGCUCUAUGCAAAAUCUAUUUUUGGAGUGAGGAAAAUGAGAAGAAAAAUAUAAACUUAUCAAACAGUGAACAUUUAAAAGUGAUUCGGGAACAAGCAUUUGGCUUGACGGGAGCUGUGACUGAAGCGACGCUGCAAUCUUUGGGUUGUUUUCUUCGCAAUAACACAGGAUUAGACUUGCAUACGACGGAUCUCCUGUCACAUUCUCCUCUUUUGUGCGGGCGAUAUUUACUUGUAUAUUAUUAUGCAAAACAUCCAAAUGUUAAGGCAAAGUCGAUUGGGAACAUUGGGGUUUCAACGGUAGAUAAGUUUCUGGAAUGGCUGCUUCGUGAUUUUUUGGACGGCGAGAGUGAACACGAGGAUAUUCUCGCGGACCACCUGAGAAGUCUUUAUCGGAUUGGAAAAACUAACAAUUUGCUCACCCUGAAAUACAUUGCAGAGAACAGGAUCACCAUAGGCGAGUUGGAAAGUGCAACAAGAACAUUUUUAAAUUACUUCCUCUUUACUUUCUACGAGUUGUAUUCGUUUGAGGAAGAGCAUGCUCACUAUGCUAUAAAGGAAGAAAUUGUUUUCCCGGAUGAGAGUCCCAUCAACAUGGUCCCUGGAUUGCCAGAACCACUUCCGGUGGAAGUGUCUAGGGAACCAAGGGAUUUUAGAACUUUGGUCAACGAAUUGGACCAGGCCGGAAGGCAGCGCUACAUAUCCAGUAAGCGAGGCAAGGAGCCGUCGCCACCAACUGCUCCUAGAAAAAAGAGAGGACUGGAAGAUGGACAUUCAUUUUUGGCUACAGUUUGGUGUAAAUGUAGUACAUCAUUACAAGGAAGGAUAUGAGGAAUUAUCGACUAUUGGGUGUCGAUUGGACACAGAAUGGGAGGAUUUAAAAACAUACAAUCCAUAUCAAAUCUUGUUAAUGAAGAUGAUAUUGGAUAAUAUGUCAGUCUCAGUUCACCUAUUAUCGAAAAUCGUCACAGUCGUUGGAGACGUCACAGUUGUCACAGUCGUCACGGGCGUUACAAUUGUCGAUACGUGUGUCGUUGUUGAAAAAUGGAAAAGUCGAGAUAAGAGGUAUUCCGACAUUUAAUAAUGCCCUAAAUAAGGACAAAUUAGAAGAAUUUCAAUAUGCAGCAAUGUUGUUCUUCCUUCCAGGAAUGUCGCUUCUUCAAAAAGAAGGAGAAGAAACAAUUAUUAAAGAGGACACAAAACCGGUUGUAAUAAAACAAGAUGGAACAAAAGCGACAUGCCAUGCGGGUAAGAAUUCCAACACACAGUUUCUAUUCAUGGUGGCUAUAUUAUAAAUUUUUUUAGGUCCUUCAUGUCCCUGCACGAAUAGGGAAAUGUUUCAAUUUUUAUAUGAUCGCGAUUUACAAUGUAAUUGCAUCACCCAAGUGCUGUCAUCUGUAAAUAGAAUGGGGGAAAAUCUUGUUUUAAAACAAGAAAAACCCCCAUUGGAAAAGCUCAUUUUGUAUUGCACCUCGGUUGCGUGUGGUUGCAAUGGCUCCUCCGAAAUGUUUGUCGUUGUUUCCCAUUACUAAUGUAGUGAAAUGUGAAUAUGUUACUAGGUUAAAAGUUUGCGGUUGGCGUAAAAGCAGUGGAAUUUCGUGGAUAAAUGAUCUUGAUGUUUAUGAGUGGUUUGCGGAAGACGAUAGUAAAGGAUUAGGAGAUGUCUUUAACAGUGAUUUGAGUGAUUUGAGUGAUGUGUCAGAGAGGUGGACGAUCAUGUUUAGCGAAGAAGAGAAACUUUAUACUGCUCUGAUGCAGAGAAAGGAGCAAUCAUUUAGAUUUUAUUAUAUAACUAAAUUAACGGAAUUCCUUUCAAAGAUGUAUUCUGUUAAACACACAGACAUCCUUUACUUCUUUUUAAGAUACCCGGAACUUUUUUUUGAGACCUCUUUUCGAGUCCUCGACAUUGACGAAUUUUUUAAUCUGUGGAACAUUCUACAUCAUUCAGAAAAAGUUCAAAAAAUUCUCAAGUUUUUUAUUAAUUUCAAGAGUUAUCCUAAUUUAAAAAAUCUACAAAAUUUUGUUGAACUGAAAUUAGCUACAGGAAGGCAGAUGACGAGAAACGUUUUUAACGAUAAUGUCGUUUGAAAUUUCUGUUUAUCUAUAACAGCUUGCAAAUUGAUUCUUUCAUUUGUGAGUAUUAAUUAUAAUUAUAAUUUUUUUUAAGUUGAACCUAUGACCCGCGUAAAAAGACAGACAAUUCAUUAAUAUUGAUUCCUUAUUUUUUUUACUGUUUAACAGUUUUUGCGAGGAAAUGGGGGAGACAGUCUGAAAGUUUUUCUUCAAUUCAGUCAAAAAGUAAUUUCUCAGUAUGACCACUUUCAGAGCAGUACUACAUACUUUCUCUUAUCUCAAGACAAAAUACUGCAUCCCAUUCUAAGUAAUCAUUUUCUAAGUAAUCCCUGUACGAUGAGGAAGCUUACACUUUCAUCAGGAAAAUCAUUACAUUCUAUCAGAAAAAUUUGAUUUUAAAAAGAGACGCCGAUCGUUCUAAACCCAUCGCCAAUAAUCUAGGAAUUGUUGAUAAUCUAGGAAUUUUUUUAUUUAUUUUUUUACAAAUAUUUGUUUAUCACUUUCAGAGCAGUACUACAUACUUUCUCUUAUCUCAAGACAAAAUACUGCAUCCCAUUCUAAGUCUUAAUAGUUAUCAAAUUGCUUUGUUGGAAGAAAUUCUUACUUCUCGUGUUAAAUCAGUUAUGGCGAUGAAUCAAAGGUCUCCACCCAGAGUGCAGUGGAUAAAGGAAGAAUUAAAUAGUUCCCUCUCUAUCAGUGAUCUAGAAGCUUUAUUAAAGUAAUGUAUACUCUAUUUUUCUGGCUCUACGUCCAAGGACUAACCUUAUGCCUUCACAAACAGAAAUGUGAAUAUUAUUUUCAAAAAGAACAAUGCCUCCUGAAGCGUCCCAUAAGGUCAGUCUUUUGACGUGGAGCCAAAAUAUUCCUUUGACACUAUGUCUUCAUGCUCCACAUCGGAGGGCCAAAUAUAUAUAUGGUCCUCCGAUGUGGAGCAUGAAGUCAGUGCCAGAAGAAUAUUUUAGGCUCUACAUCGGAGGACCAAAUAUAUAUUUGGUCCUCCGAUGUGGAGCCUGAAGACAUAGUGCCAAAGGAAUAUUUUUUGGCUCUACAUCCGAGGACCAAAUAUAUAUUUGGUCCUCCGAUGUAGAGCAUGAAGACAUAGUGCCAAAGGAAUAUUUAUUGGCUCCACGUCAGAGGACACAGGUUUUAACUUACAUUAUUUGUAUUCUUCUUAGGGGAGUGGAUGAUCCGGUAAUUAAACAAGAGAAAGCUAUUGACGAUUCAUAUAAAAUUAAUGUUCCCUUGGAAUCAUUGCUAAUAGACACGGAAAGGUUCUAUGGUACAUCGAAGCCUUAUGUCGU
Leptopilina heterotoma is the source of this 3578-nucleotide RNA transcript. RefSeq lists it as uncharacterized. The record is from RefSeq and is a predicted model, not a curated record. Lineage: Eukaryota; Metazoa; Arthropoda; Insecta; Hymenoptera; Figitidae. The transcript has 4 exons.